Molecule: long non-coding RNA, 179 nt
Organism: Salarias fasciatus (jewelled blenny)
Lineage: Eukaryota; Metazoa; Chordata; Actinopteri; Blenniiformes; Blenniidae
Exons: 3
Source: RefSeq, a predicted model, not a curated record
UCAUCAUCCUCAACAUCAUAUAUCCCAUUUUAUAUACAGUAUGUACAGACGUGUAUUAACAGCUAUCAUUUCUCUACAUGGAUUCAUUCAUAAGGUAACUGAACAAUAGCACUGUAACAAAACAUAUCACUGAUAUUCUGCAGGGAUGCUGUAAUUAGUGCAAAUGUGCGCAAAAAAAA